This 484-nucleotide ribosomal RNA is filed under the name uncultured bacterium. Its description in RNAcentral is "partial 16S ribosomal RNA". It matches the Rfam family "Bacterial small subunit ribosomal RNA", at positions 30 to 507 of the family's 1533-position model. The record is from RNAcentral.
AUUGAACGCUGGCGGCAUGCUUUACACAUGCAAGUCGAACGGCAGCACGGGCUUCGGCCUGGUGGCGAGUGGCGAACGGGUGAGUAAUAUAUCGGAACGUACCCAGAAGUGGGGGAUAACGUAGCGAAAGUUACGCUAAUACCGCAUACGAUCUAUGGAUGAAAGCAGGGGACCGCAAGGCCUUGUGCUCCUGGAGCGGCCGAUAUCUGAUUAGCUAGUUGGUGAGGUAAAGGCUCACCAAGGCGACGAUCAGUAGCUGGUCUGAGAGGACGACCAGCCACACUGGAACUGAGACACGGUCCAGACUCCUACGGGAGGCAGCAGUGGGGAAUUUUGGACAAUGGGCGCAAGCCUGAUCCAGCAAUGCCGCGUGAGUGAAGAAGGCCUUCGGGUUGUAAAGCUCUUUUGUCAGGGAAGAAACGGUAGAGGCUAAUAUCCUUUGCUAAUGACGGUACCUGAAGAAAAAGCACCGGCUAACUACGUG